RNAcentral lists this ribosomal RNA (420 nucleotides) under uncultured bacterium. Its description in RNAcentral is "partial 16S ribosomal RNA". It matches the Rfam family "Bacterial small subunit ribosomal RNA", at positions 361 to 773 of the family's 1533-position model. The record is from RNAcentral.
AUUUUGGACUAUGGGGGCAACCCUGAUCCAGCCAUCCCGCGUGUGCGAUGAAGGCCUUCGGGUUGUAAUGCACUUUUGGCAGGGAAGAAAAGGCUCUGGCUAAUACCUGGAGCUGCUGACGGUACCUGCAGACUAAGCACGGGCUAACUACGUGCCAGGAGCCGCGGUAAUCCGUAGGGUGGAAGCGUUAAUCGGAAUUACGGGUCGUAAAGCGUGCGCAGGCGGUUCGGCAAGAAGGAUGUGAAAUCCCAGGGCUUAACCUUGGAACUGCAUUCUUAACUGCCGGGCUAGAGUAUGUCAGAGGGGGGUAGAAUUCCGCGUGUAGCAGUGAAAUGCGUAGAGAUGCGGAGGAAUACCGAUGGCGAAGGCAGCCCCCUGGGAUAAUACUGACGCUCAUGCACGAAAGCGUGGGGAGCAAAC